Molecule: ribosomal RNA, 468 nt
Filed under: uncultured bacterium
Lineage: Bacteria
Description: partial 16S ribosomal RNA
Rfam family: Bacterial small subunit ribosomal RNA
Source: RNAcentral
GACGAACGCUGGCGGCGUGCUUAACACAUGCAAGUCGAACGGAAAGGCCCUGCUUUUGGGGGGUGCUCGAGUGGCGAACGGGUGAGUAACACGUGAGUAACCUGCCCUUGACUUUGGGAUAACUUCAGGAAACUGGGGCUAAUACCGGAUAGGAGCUCCUGCUGCAUGGUGGGGGUUGGAAAGUUUCGGCGGUUGGGGAUGGACUCGCGGCUUAUCAGCUUGUUGGUGAGGUAGUGGCUUACCAAGGCUUUGACGGGUAGCCGGCCUGAGAGGGUGACCGGCCACAUUGGGACUGAGAUACGGCCCAGACUCCUACGGGAGGCAGCAGUGGGGAAUAUUGCACAAUGGGCGGAAGCCUGAUGCAGCAACGCCGCGUGCGGGAUGACGGCCUUCGGGUUGUAAACCGCUUUCGCCUGUGACGAAGCGUGAGUGACGGUAAUGGGUAAAGAAGCACCGGCUAACUACGUG